AAUAGGUGGAGGUUGACUGUUCCGAUGAGUUUUUCAUCGAAAAAACAUCACUAUCGCCUAAAAUUUUUAUCUACUCUCCGUUUUCCAACACGUUUGAGUUUGUCAAAGCUCCGACGGGACAAAAACUAGCUCUACCUCCAUCAAAAUCCCAAAACCCGACCACCACCGUCACUUUUGGUACUAUUCAGGCAAAGAAAUCCAUUGGGAAACCACCCAUCUUUGUCAGAAAAUAAUAACUUAGAUUCUCGUUGAUUUUCUUCAGAAACAACACUGACCCAGCACCAAAACAUAUCAAAAAAGCUUCGAUUUUUUGACAGAAC
RNAcentral lists this long non-coding RNA (320 nucleotides) under Capsicum annuum. RNAcentral's name for it is "long non-coding RNA (CANN_LNC020619)". Lineage: Eukaryota; Viridiplantae; Streptophyta; Magnoliopsida; Solanales; Solanaceae. The record is from RNAcentral.